ACUCCAUGUGUAGUGGUGAAAUGCGUAGAUAUAUGGAAGAACACCAGUGGCGAAGGCGGCUGUCUGGUCUGUAACUGACGCUGAGGCUCGAAAGUAUGGGUAGCAAACAGGAUUAGAUACCCUGGUAGUCCAUACCGUAAACGAUGAAUGCUAAGUGUUGGAGGGUUUCCCCCUUCAGUGCUGCAGCUAACGCAUUAAGCAUUCCGCCUGGGGAGUACGGCCGCAAGGCUGAAACUCAAAGGAAUUGACGGGGGCCCGCACAAGCGGUGGAGCAUGUGGUUUAAUUCGAAGCUACGCGAAGAACCUUACCAGGUCUUGACAUACUAUGCAAAUCUAAGAGAUUAGACGUUCCCUUCGGGGACAUGGAUACAGGUGGUGCAUGGUUGUCGUCAGCUCGUGUCGUGAGAUGUUGGGUUAAGUCCCGCAACGAGCGCAACCCUUAUUAUCAGUUGCCAGCAUUAAGUUGGGCACUCUGGUGAGACUGCCGGUGACAAACCGGAGGAAGGUGGGGAUGACGUCAAAUCAUCAUGCCCCUUAUGACCUGGGCUACACACGUGCUACAAUGGAUGGUACAACGAGUUGCGAACUCGCGAGAGUAAGCUAAUCUCUUAAAGCCAUUCUCAGUUCGGAUUGUAGGCUGCAACUCGCCUACAUGAAGUCGGAAUCGCUAGUAAUCGCGGAUCAGCAUGCCGCGGUGAAUACGUUCCCGGGCCUUGUACACACCGCCCGUCACACCAUGAGAGUUUGUAACACCCAAAGUCAGUGGGGUAACCUUUAGGAACCAGCCGCCUAAGGUGGGACAGAUGAUUAGGGUGAAGUCGUAACAAGGUAACCA
RNAcentral lists this ribosomal RNA (835 nucleotides) under uncultured Lactobacillus sp. RNAcentral's name for it is "bacterial SSU rRNA". It matches the Rfam family "Bacterial small subunit ribosomal RNA", at positions 666 to 1502 of the family's 1533-position model. Lineage: Bacteria; Bacillati; Bacillota; Bacilli; Lactobacillales; Lactobacillaceae. The record is from RNAcentral.